This 424-nucleotide ribosomal RNA is filed under the name Nitrosomonas oligotropha. Its description in RNAcentral is "bacterial SSU rRNA". It matches the Rfam family "Bacterial small subunit ribosomal RNA", at positions 202 to 622 of the family's 1533-position model. The record is from RNAcentral. Lineage: Bacteria; Pseudomonadati; Pseudomonadota; Betaproteobacteria; Nitrosomonadales; Nitrosomonadaceae.
AAAGACCUUAUGCUUUUGGAGCGGCCGAUGUCUGAUUAGCUAGUUGGUGAGGUAAAGGCUCACCAAGGCAACGAUCAGUAGUUGGUCUGAGAGGACGACCAGCCACACUGGGACUGAGACACGGCCCAGACUCCUACGGGAGGCAGCAGUGGGGAAUUUUGGACAAUGGGCGAAAGCCUGAUCCAGCAAUGCCGCGUGAGUGAAGAAGGCCUUCGGGUUGUAAAGCUCUUUCAGUUGAGAAGAAAAGGCUGUGACUAAUAAUCACAGCUCAUGACGGUAUCGACAGAAGAAGCACCGGCUAACUACGUGCCAGCAGCCGCGGUAAUACGUAGGGUGCAAGCGUUAAUCGGAAUUACUGGGCGUAAAGGGUGCGCAGGCGGUUCUGUAAGUCAGAUGUGAAAUCCCCGGGCUUAACCUGGGAACU